GAGACGAAUUUUCAAUAGACAACAAAAAAAUUAAUAUUACGUAUAUGAAUCACUAAUUAAGUCUAAAAGCAUUGAAGUGGCAAGAGUACACAAAUACCAUUGCUAGACAAACGAUAAUUUGUUUCCGUUAUACCGAUUAAUUUAACAUACCUUUCCAAUUAUUGUCUAUAUCACUUAUCGUCUAUCGUUUACAGCUAUAGUAUACCUGUUUUUCGUCUUUUUCUAAGCUUUUCCACUCGGUGAAAAAUUUGGUAUUUUUUUCUAUUACCACACACGCACCGACCUCGUUGUCAGUUUUGUUCUGCUUCCACAUUGAAUAUGCUGUCACUUUUCAGUUCCUCUUGGCUACAAUUGUUGCAGUUCUUGUCCACAGUUCACCAUCAGCCGUAUAUGUCCAUUCAUCCAUUUUGUUUACAUUUUCUUUUCGUUUUUUUUUCUUUUCGUUUUUUUUC
Non-coding RNA from Paramuricea clavata, 452 nucleotides. The record is from the annotation of a GenBank genome assembly. Lineage: Eukaryota; Metazoa; Cnidaria; Anthozoa; Malacalcyonacea; Plexauridae.